UUUGAACUCUUGACUCCAGGCUCUUUGAGAAAGAAGCAUAAUGGUGGAAAUUAAAGUUCUCUAAUGGGACCAAGUGGUAGAACAAGAUUUCUUACCUUUCCAGUCUGUCCUGGAAGGACCACCAAGGUGCUCCAGAUCCUCUAAAGAAGCAUCCAAGGGCUAUUCUGAACCAAACUGACAAAGUGGAACAACCUUGAGUUGCAGGAAGUAAAAGUUCUGGAGGCUGGAAAGUACAAGAUCAAGACACCAGCAGAUCCAGUGUCUGAUGAGGACCCAUCUCCUCGCUCACAGAUGGCACCUUUUCGCUGCAUUCUCACAAGGCAGAAGAGAAGAGGAAUCUCACUGGGGCUUCUUCUGCCAUUCAUGCUGAAAUCUUCUGGCUAACCUCCAUCAUGUCCAUGUUCCUCUUAUGCGACAUAUAUCUAAGGUGAUCCAUUGAAAAGGCACUUCUGGGUCUUAUUGCAGAAUACAAAGAGAAAACACAAGAACAACAACAAAAAAUUGUUCUAUUUGUAUCACGGUCUGCUCCAUGACUCAAGGUGAGGGAAACAACGUAAGAUCCAAAAUGUUCAGUAACUUGCCUCAGGAUAAAAGCUAGAAUAAGGAAUACUACAACCAUCGCCAUGUGAAUUAAGUCUGGCCGAGGCUGUGUGAUAAUGGAAGACAUGUGGCCUGUCACCGUGCUGUCACUGAUCCAAGCACCAGACCUGUGAGUAAUGCCAUCCCGACCACCUGGUCCCAGCUGAGGUGCUCCAUGAGCCCAGACUAGAACUGC
Long non-coding RNA from Orcinus orca (killer whale), 775 nucleotides. RefSeq lists it as uncharacterized. The record is from RefSeq and is a predicted model, not a curated record. The transcript has 7 exons. Lineage: Eukaryota; Metazoa; Chordata; Mammalia; Artiodactyla; Delphinidae.